GGCCGCGGGAAGGGCUCCUAAACCCACAUAGGGUUUAGGAGCCAGAAAACCCCACAACACCCCAUACGCACCACCAACCCCCACACCCACCAAUGACUCCCGCCCUGUGGGGCUGGUGGAGGCGGAGCCCCUCUCGGAGGAGAGGGGAUAACCGCCAUAACCAGGGGAACCAGGCCAGGCCCGGAAGGGAGCAACCUAACCCUGGCCACCAGCGUUCACGGGUCACCGGGAGUGAGGUAUGGGUGUGGAAGGGCUCUGGUGGGUUUCGCGGUGGGGUGUUGUGGGGGGCCGCGGCC
Molecule: signal recognition particle RNA, 296 nt
Filed under: Thermoprotei archaeon
Lineage: Archaea; Thermoproteati; Thermoproteota; Thermoprotei
Description: signal recognition particle sRNA
Rfam family: Archaeal signal recognition particle RNA
Source: RNAcentral